GGGGACCAUCCUCCAAGGCUAAAUACUCCUGACUGACCGAUAGUGAACCAGUACUGUGAGGGAAAGGCGAAAAGAACCCCGGCGAGGGGAGUGAAAAAGAACCUGAAACCGUGUACGUACAAGCAGUGGGAGCACAGAGCAAUCUGUGUGACUGCGUACCUUUUGUAUAAUGGGUCAGCGACUUAUAUUCUGUAGCAAGGUUAACCGAAUAGGGGAGCCGAAGGGAAACCGAGUCUUAACUGGGCGUUAAGUUGCAGGGUAUAGACCCGAAACCCGGUGAUCUAGCCAUGGGCAGGUUGAAGGUUGGGUAACACUAACUGGAGGACCGAACCGACUAAUGUUGAAAAAUUAGCGGAUGACUUGUGGCUGGGGGUGAAAGGCCAAUCAAACCGGGAGAUAGCUGGUUCUCCCCGAAAGCUAUUUAGGUAGCGCCUCGUGAAUUCAUCUCCGGGGGUAGAGCACUGUUUCGGCAAGGGGGUCAUCCCGACUUACCAACCCGAUGCAAACUGCGAAUACCGGAGAAUGUUAUCACGGGAGACACACGGCGGGUGCUAACGUCCGUCGUGAAGAGGGAAACAACCCAGACCGCCAGCUAAGGUCCCAAAGUCAUGGUUAAGUGGGAAACGAUGUGGGAAGGCCCAGACAGCCAGGAUGUUGGCUUAGAAGCAGCCAUCAUUUAAAGAAAGCGUAAUAGCUCACUGGUCGAGUCGGCCUGCGCGGAAGAUGUAACGGGGCUAAACCAUGCACCGAAGCUGCGGCAGCGACGCUUAUGCGUUGUUGGGUAGGGGAGCGUUCUGUAAGCCUGUGAAGGUGUACUGUGAGGUAUGCUGGAGGUAUCAGAAGUGCGAAUGCUGACAUAAGUAACGAUAAAGCGGGUGAAAAGCCCGCUCGCCGGAAGACCAAGGGUUCCUGUCCAACGUUAAUCGGGGCAGGGUGAGUCGACCCCUAAGGCGAGGCCGAAAGGCGUAGUCGAUGGGAAACAGGUUAAUAUUCCUGUACUUGGUGUUACUGCGAAGGGGGGACGGAGAAGGCUAUGUUGGCCGGGCGACGGUUGUCCCGGUUUAAGCGUGUAGGCUGGUUUUCCAGGCAAAUCCGGAAAAUCAAGGCUGAGGCGUGAUGACGAGGCACUACGGUGCUGAAGCAACAAAUGCCCUGCUUCCAGGAAAAGCCUCUAAGCAUCAGGUAACAUCAAAUCGUACCCCAAACCGACACAGGUGGUCAGGUAGAGAAUACCAAGGCGCUUGAGAGAACUCGGGUGAAGGAACUAGGCAAAAUGGUGCCGUAACUUCGGGAGAAGGCACGCUGAUAUGUAGGUGAAGUCCCUCGCGGAUGGAGCUGAA
This 1340-nucleotide ribosomal RNA is filed under the name Escherichia coli. RNAcentral describes it as "partial 23S ribosomal RNA". It matches the Rfam family "Bacterial large subunit ribosomal RNA", at positions 448 to 1781 of the family's 2925-position model. The record is from RNAcentral. Lineage: Bacteria; Pseudomonadati; Pseudomonadota; Gammaproteobacteria; Enterobacterales; Enterobacteriaceae.